UCUCCGUAGGUGAACCUGCGGAGGGAUCAUUACAGAGUUUUUGCCCGCAAGGGUAGAUCUCCCACCCUAUGUUAUUCCUUCUCUGUUGCUUUGGCGGGCCGUCCGGCCUCGGUCAGGCCACCGGCUCCGGCUGGUGCGCGCCCGCCAGAGGACCCCAAACCCUAAAUGUCAGUGUCGUCUGAGUACUAUAUAAUAGUUAAAACUUUCAACAACGGAUCCCUUGGUUCUG
Molecule: unclassified non-coding RNA, 229 nt
Filed under: plant metagenome
Description: partial contains small subunit ribosomal RNA, internal transcribed spacer 1, and 5.8S ribosomal RNA
Source: RNAcentral